GUGUGGGAGUUUUUAUUUGGGGUGUUGUAUGACCUGAGCAGAUGUGAACAAAUGUCUGUCUAUUUCAGAGUGGGGUAUUUAUAAGAGACCAAAGAAAUGAUUCCACCAGAGUGAGCUAUUUACUUACAGGACCGUGGGUGACUCAGACGCAACUGUACCACUGAAAAGCUUAAGGCAACAUGGAUAAUGACUCAUGAAAGAAAGAGGUAUAAUAUUUGAAAGGCUGUGCCCUUCAUUACAAAAAGAGGAGCUGUGAGACUCUCUGCUUGGAAGAAAUUGAUUGCACUUCGGGUCCGUGGCCUGUGGUUAUGCUUCUUCUGGAUCAACAGGUUACACUUAGGUCUUGAUGUCUUUUCAAGCAACUCAGAGGUCUUCCACUUCGUUGUCUAGUGACACCACUCACCUCAUGAUUGGAAUCCACAAGAGCAUCAUGUCAUGACCCUAACUGAACUCUAUUUUGUGCUAUUGGAGUCCGUCAAGAAGUGGAGCUGUCAUGAAGAUUCAGAGCAAAGCUCCUGGGGACUGCUAUGGAUUCAGAGCCAACGCCUAGCAAGGGCUG
This is a long non-coding RNA of Rattus rattus (black rat), 559 nucleotides long. RefSeq lists it as uncharacterized. The record is from RefSeq and is a predicted model, not a curated record. NCBI's taxonomy places the organism in Eukaryota, Metazoa, Chordata, Mammalia, Rodentia, Muridae. The transcript is spliced from 3 exons.